AUGUCGACGGCGGCAGGACCAGCCGGCGACCUACCCGCCACGACGGCCUUGCCCGGCGGCGUUGCUCCUGCCGUUCCGGCCGUGGCCGACGAGCAUAUAUGUGUCGACGUUCCUCGGGACGGCGCGGCGGCGGGGGCGGGGGCGGGGCCGGGAGGCGAAGACGGCUCCGGCGACGAGGAGCAGCGGCGGAACCGGCGCAGGUUCCUCCUCGGCGGCCAGCUGCAGUCCAACGCCACCUCCCAGGUCGCGCUCGUCGGCACCGACUUCUGCCCCAUCGAGAGCCUCGACUACGAGCUGAUCGAGAACGACGUGUUCAAGCAGGACUGGCGGGCGCAGGGGCGGGGCCACAUCCUGCGCUACUUCGCGCUCAAGUGGGCGCUCUGCUUCCUUGUCGGCGCGCUCACCGCCGCCGCCGCCUUCGUCGCCAACCUCGGCGUCGAGAACGUCGCCGGCGCCAAGUUCGUCGUCACCUCCAACCGCAUGUUCGCGCGCAGGUUUGAAUCGGCGUUUCUGGUCUUCCUGUUUUCGAAUUUCCUGCUCACAAUGUUCGCCACGGUGCUGACGAUGUACGUGGCGCCCGCGGCGGCCGGCUCCGGCAUCCCGGAGGUGAAGGCCUACUUGAACGGCGUCGACGCACCCAACAUUUUCUGUUUCAAGACUCUGGUGGUGAAGGUUGUGGGAUGCAUUGCUGCAGUAUCAUCAUCACUGCAUGUGGGAAAAGCUGGUCCUCUGGUACACACAGGUGCAUGCAUUGCAUCAAUACUUGGGCAAGGUGGCUCGCGUAAAUAUCGCAUGACAUGUAAAUGGCUAAGGCACUUCAAGAAUGAUAGGGAUCGGAGGGACCUUGUCACUUGUGGUGCUGGUGCUGGUAUUGCUGGUGCUUUCAGGGCUCCAGUCGCCGGAGUUCUUUUUGCUCUGGAAACAGUGUCUUCACGAUGGAGGAGUGCCCUACUCUGGCGAGCUUUCUUCACAACGGCAGUUGUUGCCGUUGUGCUUAGGGCAUUAAUAGACAUCUGUAAAAGAGGCCGGUGUGGCUUGUUCGGGAAAGGCGGUCUUAUAAUGUUUGAUGUGACUUCGGGCUAUGUCAACUAUCAUGUGAUUGAUUUACCUCCGGUAAUCACUCUAGCAGUUUUUGGAGGAGUACUGGGGAGCUUGUACAACUUCUUCCUUGACAAGGUUCUUCGUCUCUACAAUGUUAUCAACGAGAAAGGUCGAACUUACAGACUACUCCUGGCUGCAACAGUCUCCGUCUGUACUUCAUGUUGCCUCUUUGGCUUACCAUGGCUUGCAGCUUGCAAACCUUGCCCAGCUGACUCAAGAGAAGCUUGUCCAUCAAUAGGGAGAUCUGGAAAUUUCAAGAAGUUCCAGUGUCCAAUGCAUAACUACAAUGACUUGGCUAGCCUGUUCUUUAACACCAACGAUGACACCAUUAGAAACCUCUACAGUAACGGCACUGACCAUGAGUUCCAUAUCACCUCGAUCCUUGUGUUCUUUAUUGCAUCAUAUUUUCUGGGCAUUUUCAGCUAUGGCCUCGCCUUACCAUCUGGCCUUUUCGUACCUGUUAUUUUAACUGGUGCAGCUUACGGUCGUCUGGUUGGCAUGCUGAUUGGGUCGCAAUCAACUUUGGAUCAUGGUCUUUUUGCGGUUCUUGGUUCUGCUGCCCUUCUAGGUGGAUCGAUGAGAAUGACUGUCUCAGUUUGUGUUGUCAUCCUAGAACUGACAAAUAAUCUGCUGAUGCUUCCUCUGGUUAUGCUGGUCCUUAUCAUAUCAAAGACAGUGGCAGAUGCUUUUAAUGCAAAUGUCUAUGAUCUGCUUGUUAAAUUGAAGGGUUUUCCUUUUCUUGAAGGGCAUGCUGAACCCUACAUGCGACAACUGUCAGUUAGUGAUGUUGUAACUGGCCCUCUACAGACAUUCAAUGGCAUAGAGAAGGUUGGCCGUAUUGUGGAUACCUUGAAGGCAACCGGUCAUAAUGGUUUCCCUGUCGUUGAUGAGCCACCGUUUUCAGAUACUCCUCUGUUAUAUGGUCUAGUUCUUCGGUCGCACCUGCUUGUUCUGUUGAGGAAGAAAGAGUUCAUCAGUAGUUCCACAGCUUCAGCAUCAGAUGCUUCAAAGCAUUUCUCACCUGAGGAUUUUGCUAAACGUGGUUCAGGAAAGCAUGACAGAAUUGAGGACAUUGAAUUAACUGCAGAAGAACUGGAAAUGUUUGUAGACUUGCAUCCUUUCACAAACACAUCUCCUUACACUGUGGUUGAGACCAUGUCCUUGGCUAAAGCUCUUAUACUUUUUCGUGAAGUUGGAUUAAGACACCUUUUGGUUCUUCCAAAAACUUCCAAGAGGGCGCCUGUUGUUGGCAUAUUAACACGGCAUGACUUCAUGCCUGAGCACGUAUUGGGUCUCCAUCCGUACCUGUUCAAGAGCAGAUGGAAGAAGGUGCGAUUUGGCAAGACAGCCUUCUCCAACUUCUUUUGA
RNAcentral lists this ribosomal RNA (2469 nucleotides) under Triticum aestivum (bread wheat). RNAcentral's name for it is "partial small subunit ribosomal RNA". The record is from RNAcentral. Lineage: Eukaryota; Viridiplantae; Streptophyta; Magnoliopsida; Poales; Poaceae.